CUAAGAUAGUGCAAGUGGGAAGCAGCACCACCAGGGCUGGAACCAGGUCUUCUUGACUCAAGUUCUGGCUUUUAAUUUCUCAUCUUGGGCUGGGGGUAGGAUCUGGGCUUUGCUAGUUCUCAGGCCCAUCACUUCUGAUCUCUAACCCAAGUCCUCUGCACUUGUUAAGGCAGAGAUAGAGGAAUGACUGGUUUCUGGUAACUUUCAGCUCUGAUAUUUCUUGUGAUUAGAGAAUAGUCCCUUGUAGCCACUAUAUCCUCAGCACCUGGGGUCAAGACAGUAGACACACAUUUUUCAGAUAGGUUCUAGUCUAUGAGGAAAAUUAAUCAGGGUAAUGGGCUAUGAGCCUCGUGUGCAAUGAGUGUGUUGCCCCAGCCUCUCCCAGACUUCACUGGCAGCCCCGUGCAGUCAGGGACCGCAAGCUGCCCUCCAGCCAGCCAGCUGAGGCUCUAGGGCAUCUGUAGAUGGCAUGAGGCCUUUCUGCUACAGCUACAUUUGAGAUGGUCAGUCGAGAUCAUCCUGAGGAAUGUAGGAGGCAGAGGAAAUGGCAUAUGCGAGAGACUUGAAGCACGAAUGUUUGAGAUUGAAAGUGGGCCAGUAUAGCUGGAGUGUGGUGUAGAAGGGGUAGAGAUCAAGCAAGGGCCAGAUCAUGAAGGGUCUCACUGGUAGGGAAGUAGACUAGAUUUUUGUUCUCAUUGAAAAAGGAACCCACUUGGAGGGGUUGAAGGACGGAAGUCAAAUCUGACCUCCAUUGUCAAGAGAUUAUUCCUGCUGCUCUGAGAAGCAGGGAUUCUCAAGGGUCAAGGGUGGUGGCAAGGAAACAAGAUAGAAGGCUGUGGCUAAGAUGCAGGUGGGAGAUGAUGGAGCUUGAACCAGUAUUAGAAGUGGAGGAGGGGAAAAGUAGCUUGUAGAGCUGAACAGACUGGGUGACAGAUUAGAGUGUAGGAGGUUUUUUGGUUUAUUAGAGGUGCUGUUUUCCUACAAUGGGUUCCCUAAGUCCAACUCUCAUUUCACAUGUGUUAAACCCAGACCAAUCAGCGCAUGGCGUUUCCCUGGCCACAGUGAUUGCUUCCAGAGUGGUCCAAUAAUAGACUUUUGUUCCACAGAAAGCAGAGGCCUCUGGUCUGAUAGAUGUUAAGAAGAAAGUGUCGGGCUGGGGAUGUGGCUC
This 1168-nucleotide long non-coding RNA is filed under the name Marmota monax (woodchuck). The record is from RNAcentral. Lineage: Eukaryota; Metazoa; Chordata; Mammalia; Rodentia; Sciuridae.